GGUUCUGUAGCUCAGUCGGUAGAGCAGAGGACUGAAAAUCCUCGUGUCGGUGGUUCGAUUCCGCCCGGAACCACCA
This 76-nucleotide transfer RNA is filed under the name Coprobacillus sp. TM10-10. RNAcentral's name for it is "tRNA-Phe". It matches the Rfam family "tRNA". Rfam says of the family: Transfer RNA (tRNA) molecules are approximately 80 nucleotides in length. Their secondary structure includes four short double-helical elements and three loops (D, anti-codon, and T loops). Lineage: Bacteria; Bacillati; Bacillota; Erysipelotrichia; Erysipelotrichales; Coprobacillaceae. The record is from RNAcentral.